AGAGUUUGAUCAUGGCUCAGAUUGAACGCUGGCGGCAGGCCUAACACAUGCAAGUCGAGCGGUAGCACAGAGAGCUUGCUCUCGGGUGACGAGCGGCGGACGGGUGAGUAAUGUCUGGGAAACUGCCUGAUGGAGGGGGAUAACUACUGGAAACGGUAGCUAAUACCGCAUAACGUCGCAAGACCAAAGUGGGGGACCUUCGGGCCUCAUGCCAUCAGAUGUGCCCAGAUGGGAUUAGCUAGUAGGUGGGGUAACGGCUCACCUAGGCGACGAUCCCUAGCUGGUCUGAGAGGAUGACCAGCCACACUGGAACUGAGACACGGUCCAGACUCCUACGGGAGGCAGCAGUGGGGAAUAUUGCACAAUGGGCGCAAGCCUGAUGCAGCCAUGCCGCGUGUGUGAAGAAGGCCUUCGGGUUGUAAAGCACUUUCAGCGGGGAGGAAGGCGGUAAGGUUAAUAACCUCAUCGAUUGACGUUACCCGCAGAAGAAGCACCGGCUAACUCCGUGCCAGCAGCCGCGGUAAUACGGAGGGUGCAAGCGUUAAUCGGAAUUACUGGGCGUAAAGCGCACGCAGGCGGUCUGUCAAGUCGGAUGUGAAAUCCCCGGGCUCAACCUGGGAACUGCAUUCGAAACUGGCAGGCUAGAGUCUUGUAGAGGGGGGUAGAAUUCCAGGUGUAGCGGUGAAAUGCGUAGAGAUCUGGAGGAAUACCGGUGGCGAAGGCGGCCCCCUGGACAAAGACUGACGCUCAGGUGCGAAAGCGUGGGGAGCAAACAGGAUUAGAUACCCUGGUAGUCCACGCCGUAAACGAUGUCGAUUUGGAGGUUGUGCCCUUGAGGCGUGGCUUCCGGAGCUAACGCGUUAAAUCGACCGCCUGGGGAGUACGGCCGCAAGGUUAAAACUCAAAUGAAUUGACGGGGGCCCGCACAAGCGGUGGAGCAUGUGGUUUAAUUCGAUGCAACGCGAAGAACCUUACCUGGUCUUGACAUCCACAGAACUUACCAGAGAUGCAUUGGUGCCUUCGGGAACUGUGAGACAGGUGCUGCAUGGCUGUCGUCAGCUCGUGUUGUGAAAUGUUGGGUUAAGUCCCGCAACGAGCGCAACCCUUAUCCUUUGUUGCCAGCGGUCCGGCCGGGAACUCAAAGGAGACUGCCAGUGAUAAACUGGAGGAAGGUGGGGAUGACGUCAAGUCAUCAUGGCCCUUACGACCAGGGCUACACACGUGCUACAAUGGCAUAUACAAAGAGAAGCGACCUCGCGAGAGCAAGCGGACCUCAUAAAGUAUGUCGUAGUCCGGAUUGGAGUCUGCAACUCGACUCCAUGAAGUCGGAAUCGCUAGUAAUCGUAGAUCAGAAUGCUACGGUGAAUACGUUCCCGGGCCUUGUACACACCGCCCGUCACACCAUGGGAGUGGGUUGCAAAAGAAGUAGGUAGCUUAACCUUCGGGAGGGCGCUUACCACUUUGUGAUUCAUGACUGGGGUGAAGUCGUAACAAGGUAACCGUAGGGGAACCUGCGGUUGGAUCACCU
This 1528-nucleotide ribosomal RNA is filed under the name Klebsiella pneumoniae. Its description in RNAcentral is "bacterial SSU rRNA". It matches the Rfam family "Bacterial small subunit ribosomal RNA". The record is from RNAcentral. Lineage: Bacteria; Pseudomonadati; Pseudomonadota; Gammaproteobacteria; Enterobacterales; Enterobacteriaceae.